CUUGUAUAGGCAUAUCCACAGUGCUCUUUGGAAGGGAGUUCCAGAUAUCUGACUGAGUGACAGUGAAGGAAUACUUUAACUCCAAGGCAUGAUGAUGUGUGACUUGAAGGGCAUGAGUUGGAGUCCAGGAAAGACAAAGUGAUGAAAGGUUGUUCCUGCUGCCUUUAUGUAAGUCUUGUGCAUUAAAAAGAUUUUGUGCAGUUCCAAGUUACUCUUGGAUAUGCAUUCCCAACACAAAGAUGCCUCUAAUUCAUCACAUCUCCUCAGUAUAUAAUUGGCAAGAGGGCUCAAGAUAAUGGGUCUUUCCCUUUUGAACUUUUGCAACAGCUACCUCAAUCAUCAGUGCAUCCCUCAGGCCUGAACUUUGGAAUGGGACAGUCUGUAACACUCAGUCAUCAACAGUAGAGGAAAACCAGCAAAGUUAAGGCAAACCAAACAGCAGCUUUCAACAAUCUGAUGGCUCACCAGCUAAAGGUCUGGGCAAAAGCCAGACUGGAGACCAGAUUAUAGUGUGAGGCAUUUGUAUAUUGGCUUUAAGCUGUUAAAGAUAUC
Molecule: non-coding RNA, 552 nt
Organism: Chiloscyllium plagiosum (whitespotted bambooshark)
Lineage: Eukaryota; Metazoa; Chordata; Chondrichthyes; Orectolobiformes; Hemiscylliidae
Source: RefSeq, a predicted model, not a curated record